RNAcentral lists this small RNA (76 nucleotides) under Xanthomonas sp. NCPPB 1560. Its description in RNAcentral is "sX9 sRNA". It matches the Rfam family "Xanthomonas sRNA sX9". RNAcentral also lists the same sequence under 6 other names. Lineage: Bacteria; Pseudomonadati; Pseudomonadota; Gammaproteobacteria; Lysobacterales; Lysobacteraceae. The record is from RNAcentral.
AUGUACCACGCGUACACUCCGGUUCCUCUGCGCCGCCCACACCGACCUGACGACUGCUCGCGACGUUGUGUUGGCC